This 430-nucleotide ribosomal RNA is filed under the name uncultured bacterium. RNAcentral's name for it is "bacterial SSU rRNA". It matches the Rfam family "Bacterial small subunit ribosomal RNA", at positions 355 to 776 of the family's 1533-position model. The record is from RNAcentral.
UGGGGAAUAUUGGACAAUGGGCGAAAGCCUGAUCCAGCCAUGCCGCGUGUGUGAAGAAGGCCUUUUGGUUGUAAAGCACUUUAAGCGGGGAGGAGGGCACCUUGGUUAAUACCCAAGAAUGUCGGACGUUACCCGCAGAAUAAGCACCGGCUAACUCUGUGCCAGCAGCCGCGGUAAUACAGAGGGUGCGAGCGUUAAUCGGAAUUACUGGGCGUAAAGCGCGCGUAGGCGGCUUGUUAAGUCGGAUGUGAAAUCCCUGGGCUCAACCUAGGCAUUGCAUUCGAUACUGGCAAGCUAGAGUAUGGGAGAGGAAGGUAGAAUUCCAGGUGUAGCGGUGAAAUGCGUAGAGAUCUGGAGGAAUACCGAUGGCGAAGGCAGCCUUCUGGCCUAAUACUGACGCUGAGGUGCGAAAGCAUGGGGAGCAAACAGG